UACGUAGGGGGCAAGCGUUGUCCGGAAUCAUUGGGCGUAAAGAGCGUGUAGGCGGCCUGCAUAGUCUGGUGUGAAAUCUCGGGGCUCAACCCCGAGCGGUCACUGGAUACUGGCAGGCUUGAGUCUGGAAGAGGAGUGUGGAAUUCCUGGUGUAGCGGUGGAAUGCGCAGAUAUCAGGAGGAACACCAAUGGCGAAGGCAGCUCGCUGGGACGUGACUGACGCUGAGACGCGAAAGCGUGGGGAGCGAACAGG
RNAcentral lists this ribosomal RNA (253 nucleotides) under uncultured bacterium. RNAcentral describes it as "partial 16S ribosomal RNA". It matches the Rfam family "Bacterial small subunit ribosomal RNA", at positions 524 to 776 of the family's 1533-position model. The record is from RNAcentral.